UGCAAUUAUUAUGAUAAACGUGCAUUUUUCUUUUGUAUAUCUUCUCAUUUAUGUGAAUAUACUAAAUUUCCAACAAGUUCAACAAGUUUAAUCAUUUAAAUAGCAUAUUUUCCAAGAAAAUAUCCAUCACAACACCCCCCCCCCCCCCCUGGGAUUUUCAAAAAACCAAUUUAAAUUAAAGAAAUUGUGAUUUUAACUUGAAUGUAAUUUAUUUUGAGUUUUUACAUAAAAAAAAUGAAAAUGUAGGUGUGUUUCUAAUUAUAUAUGAGUUUAGAAGACAUUUUUAUAAAUUUUGAGACCAAAUAUCUUUUCGGGUUUUUAGUGCGAUCAUUUCAAGCGAGCAAAAGUGAAAGUAGAAAAGCAGAAAGUUUCCGGUGAGGAAAAAUACUUCAUUCUAGCAGUGUCCAGCUAUCUAAGAUUAGUUUGCAUUGUAAGGGAAUUGUAUUAGUGUCCGAUAACAUGUAAAUUCAAAUGGAAGUCUUCUUCAAAGAAUAAAACACAACAAUGAGCCACACUUGAUAGUUUUUCAAUACAGACGCAUUUUGCCGGAAAACGAAUCUGACUUCAAACCACGAAAUUUUAACAGGAAAGAGACAAUUUGAUGAGCUUUCAUUCAAGAGGUCCCUCGUUGCUGAACGAAAAUUAGGG
Magallana angulata is the source of this 648-nucleotide long non-coding RNA. RefSeq lists it as uncharacterized. The record is from RefSeq and is a predicted model, not a curated record. NCBI's taxonomy places the organism in Eukaryota, Metazoa, Mollusca, Bivalvia, Ostreida, Ostreidae. The transcript has 3 exons.